UUAGCUAAAGCCAAACAAUAGGCAUAUUACUGUUAAUAAUAAAUUGGACCAAAACAAUCCUUGCUAAG
This 68-nucleotide transfer RNA is filed under the name Macrolenostreptus orestes. RNAcentral's name for it is "tRNA-Asn". Lineage: Eukaryota; Metazoa; Arthropoda; Diplopoda; Spirostreptida; Spirostreptidae. The record is from RNAcentral.